Molecule: long non-coding RNA, 810 nt
Organism: Girardinichthys multiradiatus
Lineage: Eukaryota; Metazoa; Chordata; Actinopteri; Cyprinodontiformes; Goodeidae
Exons: 3
Source: RefSeq, a predicted model, not a curated record
UUUGGUGGGCCCAUGCAGUCCGAUCCAACAGACAUGGUACUGCAGCUCAGACGUCUGCAGACGUUUAAGGGUGGUUUUGACGGAAAGGAGUGAAAGAUACAAGGACCAGUCAGGAUACCCAUCCUGACAUAAUCUUACCUGAUUGUGUACAAAUACAGGUUGAUUGUGUCUGGCUUCCACAAACAAAUAAUGCUUAGAGAAUAUUUGCAAAUUAUCUUGUCAAACAGAAGUAUAACCAUUUUCCUGUCGGGUCUGGGAUUUUCUGUUUGUUUUUGCCUGCUAUUUACACUACCUUACCACUAGAUCCCACCAGAGCUCCGGAGGUGAGAGGGAGGCAGGUGUUCGCAAUCUUCAUCAAACUGGAGGAGUAUCAGAGAGGAGUCGGCCAGCACUGAGUGUUUGCCUAAUGUGGCUCCACUGCAGAUCUGUUCUAGUUCAACUGACUCCUCGUUUGAACUGCUUCCCAAGCUUCAAGAUUUCAAGGAAAGUUUGGGAUUCCAUUCCAGCUGGUUGCUACUAGCUCUCGUACCUCCUGGCUUCAAGCUCAAGCGAACCCUGUCCACCCUCCAAUGUUUACUCACCUCCAAGCCCGGCAUCUGGAGCUCAUCACCUCAGCAAGUAAGCUGCCUUCAGAGAAACCUCACCGCUGCACACUGAGUGUAGGAUCAAGAGGAAAAUCAAUUCGGGCACCUCUGUGGUCAUCUUCCGUCCCAGCUCCGACCCCCUCCAUGCAUGAUCAUCAACAUCACUCAUCGGUGUAUCCAGUUCCCAGCACACAUUCACCUUCUGUAAAUAAAUUCAUUAACUUUU